UUGCAGGUGGAAGUCCGGUCCGGGUAACCGCCAGGGGGCCCGGUAGCAGACUGGCGGCUUCGUCUGGAAACGGGCGGGGUCGAAGCCCAGUGUCGAAAGCCCAUUUUAGGGGGAGCGACUGAGCGGUCCGUAGCAUGA
This 138-nucleotide non-coding RNA is filed under the name Pseudonocardia kunmingensis. Lineage: Bacteria; Bacillati; Actinomycetota; Actinomycetes; Pseudonocardiales; Pseudonocardiaceae. The record is from RNAcentral.